Molecule: ribosomal RNA, 775 nt
Filed under: uncultured Neocallimastigales
Lineage: Eukaryota; Fungi; Neocallimastigomycota; Neocallimastigomycetes; Neocallimastigales
Description: partial large subunit ribosomal RNA
Rfam family: Eukaryotic large subunit ribosomal RNA
Source: RNAcentral
CAUAGCGACUAUCGUGGCAUAUCAAUAAGCGGAGGAAAAGAAACUAACAAGGAUUCCCCUAGUAACGGCGAGUGAAGCGGGAAGAGCUCAAAUUUGAAAUCUUCAAGGGUUUCCCUUGACGAAUUGUAGUUUAAAGAAGUGUUUUCUGUUAGAGAGGUGGUAAAAGUUCUUUGGAAUAGGACAUCAUAGAGGGUGAGAAUCCCGUAUUUGACCAUUAUUUCCAGCUGUGUGAUACACUUUCAAAGAGUCGGAUUGUUUGGGAAUGCAGUCCAAAAUGGGUGGUAAAUUUCAUCUAAAGCUAAAUAUUGGCGAGAGACCGAUAGCGAACAAGUACCGUGAGGGAAAGAUGAAAAGAACUUUGAAAAGAGAGUUAAACAGUACGUGAAAUUGUCAAAAGGGAAGCGUUUGACACCAGUGUUGUUUUCUCGAAAAUCAAUUAAAAAGGAUGGGAUUUUGUGUUGUAUUGACCUUAUCAAGCUUUCUUCACUCUUUUCCUAUCUUUUUUAAUGCACUUUUCGUUUAACAAGUCAACAUCAGUUUCUUUUGUUGUAAAAGGGUCAUUGGAAGGUGGCUUUCUUUUCGGAGAAAGUGUUUAUAGCCUUUGAUCUCUGCAACCGGAGAGACUGAGGUCUGCAGCGUAGACUCUUCGGGGUUAGAUACAUUUGUGCUAAGCUAUAGCUUUUUAUAGACAACUUGUUGACUAUAUUUAGUCUUGUGGCUUACUCGCUUAUGCUAUUUUACCUACGCUUAGGAUGUUGAUAUGCAUGACUGAUAU